RNAcentral lists this ribosomal RNA (443 nucleotides) under uncultured bacterium. RNAcentral describes it as "partial 16S ribosomal RNA". It matches the Rfam family "Bacterial small subunit ribosomal RNA", at positions 355 to 769 of the family's 1533-position model. The record is from RNAcentral.
UGGGGAAUUUUGGACAAUGGGGGCAACCCUGAUCCAGCAAUGCCGCGUGUGUGAAGAAGGCCUUCGGGUUGUAAAGCACUUUUGUCCGGAAAGAAAACGCCGUGGUUAAUACCCGUGGCGGAUGACGGUACCGGAAGAAUAAGCACCGGCUAACUACGUGCCAGCAGCCGCGGUAAUACGUAGGGUGCAAGCGUUAAUCGGAAUUACUGGGCGUAAAGCGUGCGCAGGCGGUCCGCUAAGACAGAUGUGAAAUCCCCGGGCUUAACCUGGGAACUGCAUUUGUGACUGGCGGGCUAGAGUAUGGCAGAGGGGGGUAGAAUUCCACNGUGUACGGCAGAUGGCAAAGUGCAGUAGAUGGAUGGUAGGAGGAACUGAGCCGAAUGGCGAAGGCCCAGGCCCCCAUGGCCAAUACUGACGCUCAUGCACGAAAGCCGUGGGGGAGC